Molecule: ribosomal RNA, 253 nt
Filed under: uncultured bacterium
Lineage: Bacteria
Description: partial small subunit ribosomal RNA
Rfam family: Bacterial small subunit ribosomal RNA
Source: RNAcentral
AGGAUAAACGCUGGCGGCGUGCCUAACACAUGCAAGUCGAACGUCUCUUCUUUCGGGAAGAGGAGUGGCGGACGGGUGAGGAACACGUGAGCAACCUGCCCUUGACUCCGGAAUAACAGCUGGAAACAGCUGCUAAUACCAGAUACGACUCAGUGCGACAUCGCAUCGAGUGGAAAGCCCUGGCGGUCAAGGAUGGGCUCGCGGCCUAUCAGCUUGUUGGUGAGGUAACGGCUCACCAAGGCUUCGACGGGUA